Molecule: ribosomal RNA, 293 nt
Filed under: Clostridioides difficile
Lineage: Bacteria; Bacillati; Bacillota; Clostridia; Peptostreptococcales; Peptostreptococcaceae
Description: partial 16S ribosomal RNA
Rfam family: Bacterial small subunit ribosomal RNA
Source: RNAcentral
GAGGGUGAUCGGCCACAUUGGAACUGAGACACGGUCCAAACUCCUACGGGAGGCAGCAGUGGGGAAUAUUGCACAAUGGGCGAAAGCCUGAUGCAGCAACGCCGCGUGAGUGAUGAAGGCCUUCGGGUCGUAAAACUCUGUCCUCAAGGAAGAUAAUGACGGUACUUGAGGAGGAAGCCCCGGCUAACUACGUGCCAGCAGCCGCGGUAAUACGUAGGGGGCUAGCGUUAUCCGGAUUUACUGGGCGUAAAGGGUGCGUAGGCGGUCUUUCAAGUCAGGAGUGAAAGGCUACG